Molecule: ribosomal RNA, 550 nt
Filed under: uncultured bacterium
Lineage: Bacteria
Description: bacterial SSU rRNA
Rfam family: Bacterial small subunit ribosomal RNA
Source: RNAcentral
UAGGGAAUCUUCCGCAAUGGGCGAAAGCCUGACGGAGCAACGCCGCGUGAGUGAUGAAGGUCUUCGGAUCGUAAAACUCUGUUAUUAGGGAAGAACAAAUGUGUAAGUAACUAUGCACGUCUUGACGGUACCUAAUCAGAAAGCCACGGCUAACUACGUGCCAGCAGCCGCGGUAAUACGUAGGUGGCAAGCGUUAUCCGGAAUUAUUGGGCGUAAAGCGCGCGUAGGCGGUUUUUUAAGUCUGAUGUGAAAGCCCACGGCUCAACCGUGGAGGGUCAUUGGAAACUGGAAAACUUGAGUGCAGAAGAGGAAAGUGGAAUUCCAUGUGUAGCGGUGAAAUGCGCAGAGAUAUGGAGGAACACCAGUGGCGAAGGCGACUUUCUGGUCUGUAACUGACGCUGAUGUGCGAAAGCGUGGGGAUCAAACAGGAUUAGAUACCCUGGUAGUCCACGCCGUAAACGAUGAGUGCUAAGUGUUGGAGGGUUUCCGCCCUUCAGUGCUGCAGUUAACGCAUUAAGCACUCCGCCUGGGGAGUACGACCGCAAGGUUG